RNAcentral lists this ribosomal RNA (750 nucleotides) under Bacillus safensis. RNAcentral describes it as "bacterial SSU rRNA". It matches the Rfam family "Bacterial small subunit ribosomal RNA", at positions 51 to 786 of the family's 1533-position model. The record is from RNAcentral. Lineage: Bacteria; Bacillati; Bacillota; Bacilli; Caryophanales; Bacillaceae.
AUACUGCAGUCGAGCGGACAGAAGGGAGCUUGCUCCCGGAUGUUAGCGGCGGACGGGUGAGUAACACGUGGGUAACCUGCCUGUAAGACUGGGAUAACUCCGGGAAACCGGAGCUAAUACCGGAUAGUUCCUUGAACCGCAUGGUUCAAGGAUGAAAGACGGUUUCGGCUGUCACUUACAGAUGGACCCGCGGCGCAUUAGCUAGUUGGUGGGGUAAUGGCUCACCAAGGCGACGAUGCGUAGCCGACCUGAGAGGGUGAUCGGCCACACUGGGACUGAGACACGGCCCAGACUCCUACGGGAGGCAGCAGUAGGGAAUCUUCCGCAAUGGACGAAAGUCUGACGGAGCAACGCCGCGUGAGUGAUGAAGGUUUUCGGAUCGUAAAGCUCUGUUGUUAGGGAAGAACAAGUGCGAGAGUAACUGCUCGCACCUUGACGGUACCUAACCAGAAAGCCACGGCUAACUACGUGCCAGCAGCCGCGGUAAUACGUAGGUGGCAAGCGUUGUCCGGAAUUAUUGGGCGUAAAGGGCUCGCAGGCGGUUUCUUAAGUCUGAUGUGAAAGCCCCCGGCUCAACCGGGGAGGGUCAUUGGAAACUGGGAAACUUGAGUGCAGAAGAGGAGAGUGGAAUUCCACGUGUAGCGGUGAAAUGCGUAGAGAUGUGGAGGAACACCAGUGGCGAAGGCGACUCUCUGGUCUGUAACUGACGCUGAGGAGCGAAAGCGUGGGGAGCGAACAGGAUUAGAUACU